AAGGAAUAUUGGACAAUGGGCGAAAGCCUGAUCCAGCCAUGCCGCGUGAAGGAUUAAGGUCCUCUGGAUUGUAAACUUCUUUUAUCUGGGACGAAAAAAUGGAAUUCUUUCCACAUUGACGGUACCAGAUGAAUAAGCACCGGCUAACUCCGUGCCAGCAGCCGCGGUAAUACGGAGGGUGCAAGCGUUAUCCGGAUUCACUGGGUUUAAAGGGUGCGUAGGCGGGUAGGUAAGUCAGUGGUGAAAUCUCGGAGCUUAACUCCGAAACUGCCAUUGAUACUAUCUAUCUUGAAUAUUGUGGAGGUUUGCGGAAUAUGUCAUGUAGCGGUGAAAUGCUUAGAUAUGACAUAGAACACCUAUUGCGAAGGCAGCAGGCUACACAUAUAUUGACGCUCAGGCACGAAAGCGUGGGGAUCAAACAGGA
Molecule: ribosomal RNA, 424 nt
Filed under: uncultured Sediminibacterium sp.
Lineage: Bacteria; Pseudomonadati; Bacteroidota; Chitinophagia; Chitinophagales; Chitinophagaceae
Description: bacterial SSU rRNA
Rfam family: Bacterial small subunit ribosomal RNA
Source: RNAcentral